GAUGAACGCUGACAGAAUGCUUAACACAUGCAAGUCAACUUGAAUUUGGGUUUUUAACUUAGGUUUGGGUGGCGGACGGGUGAGUAACGCGUAAAAGAACUUGCCUCACAGCUAGGGACAACAUUUGGAAACGAAUGCUAAUACCUAAUAUUAUGAUAAUAGGGCAUCCUAUAAUUAUGAAAGCUAUAAGCGCUGUGAGAGAGCUUGCGUCCCAUUAGCUAGUUGGAGAGGUAACGGCUCACCAAGGCGAUGAUGGGUAGCCGGCCUGAGAGGGUGAUCGGCCACAAGGGGACUGAGACACGGCCCUUACUCCUACGGGAGGCAGCAGUGGGGAAUAUUGGACAAUGGACCAAGAGUCUGAUCCAGCAAUUCUGUGUGCACGAUGAAGUUUUUCGGAAUGUAAAGUGCUUUCAGUUGGGAAGAAAGAAAUGACGGUACCAACAGAAGAAGUGACGGCUAAAUACGUGCCAGCAGCCGCGGUAAUACGUAUGUCACGAGCGUUAUCCGGAUUUAUUGGGCGUAAAGCGCGUCUAGGUGGUUAUGUAAGUCUGAUGUGAAAAUGCAGGGCUCAACUCUGUAUUGCGUUGGAAACUGUAUAACUAGAGUACUGGAGAGGUAAGCGGAACUACAAGUGUAGAGGUGAAAUUCGUAGAUAUUUGUAGGAAUGCCGAUGGGGAAGCCAGCUUACUGGACAGAUACUGACGCUGAAGCGCGAAAGCGUGGGUAGCAAACAGG
Molecule: ribosomal RNA, 735 nt
Filed under: uncultured Fusobacterium sp.
Lineage: Bacteria; Fusobacteriati; Fusobacteriota; Fusobacteriia; Fusobacteriales; Fusobacteriaceae
Description: bacterial SSU rRNA
Rfam family: Bacterial small subunit ribosomal RNA
Source: RNAcentral